GAAGGUAUAGCUCAAGUGGUAGAGCGCAUGCUUAGCAUGCAUGAGGUCCUGGGUUCAAUCCCCAGUACCUCCU
Molecule: transfer RNA, 73 nt
Filed under: Camelus bactrianus (Bactrian camel)
Lineage: Eukaryota; Metazoa; Chordata; Mammalia; Artiodactyla; Camelidae
Also listed under: 3 other names
Rfam family: tRNA
About the family: Transfer RNA (tRNA) molecules are approximately 80 nucleotides in length. Their secondary structure includes four short double-helical elements and three loops (D, anti-codon, and T loops).
Source: Rfam by way of RNAcentral